CAAAGCAGCAGCAGCCGCCGCAGCAAAAUCUUGGAAGUUCAUUGGUGGAAGUGGAUGCCCCUCAAAACUCUGAGAUAAUUUCUUCCUGAUUGGUUGGAAGCGGCACCUAAUACGUGGCAAAUGCUGAGUGUAGAAAGUACAGGCCCUAGGGAAAGGAAGAGCUGAAGGCGAGUCCUGGGUGGUCGGGAGGCGACCGACCUUAAAGGAUGUGCUGCUGUGGCUCUUCUAAAGCCUCGUCUUUUUGGAAAGGCGAAAACAAAGCUGGAAACAUAAGGCUUUAGAGAAGAAAACCAAAACUGCAAAAGGCAAAACUGGAGAAGAUUUGAAUGUUCAGCUAAGGAAUUGAAACUUCAUUCAGCAGUUAAGGACACCCUGAAGAUUUUUUAGCGAAGGAGUGAAAGGAUGAAAAUUGUGGUUUAUGAAGAUGCAUCCAUCUGCUGUGUAUUCAAAAGAAUAGCAUCAAAGAUGAGGAGAGUGAUUGGGAGGCUCUUGCCCAUCAAAUUUCUGUGAAGAUUUUUUUUAAAAAAGUAUUGACUUAAACAUGCUGUUAUUAACGUCAGAAAGCAAAAACGUAAAAAGCCCCAUUUCC
Phyllostomus discolor (pale spear-nosed bat) is the source of this 589-nucleotide long non-coding RNA. RefSeq lists it as uncharacterized. The record is from RefSeq and is a predicted model, not a curated record. NCBI's taxonomy places the organism in Eukaryota, Metazoa, Chordata, Mammalia, Chiroptera, Phyllostomidae. The transcript has 2 exons.